GACGAACGCUGGCGGCGUGCUUAACACAUGCAAGUCGAACGGAAAGGCCCUGCUUUUGUGGGGUGCUCGAGUGGCGAACGGGUGAGUAACACGUGAGUAACCUGCCCUUGACUUUGGGAUAACUUCAGGAAACUGGGGCUAAUACCGGAUAGGAGCUCCUGCUGCAUGGUGGGGGUUGGAAAGUUUCGGCGGUUGGGGAUUGACUCGCGGCUUAUCAGCUUGUUGGUGGGGUAGUGGCUUACCAAGGCUUUGACGGGUAGCCGGCCUGAGAGGGUGACCGGCCACAUUGGGACUGAGAUACGGCCCAGACUCCUACGGGAGGCAGCAGUGGGGAAUAUUGCACAAUGGGCGGAAGCCUGAUGCAGCAACGCCGCGUGCGGGAUGACGGCCUUCGGGUUGUAAACCGCUUUCGCCUGUGACGAAGCGUGAGUGACGGUAAUGGGUAAAGAAGCGCCGGCUAACUACGUG
This 468-nucleotide ribosomal RNA is filed under the name uncultured bacterium. RNAcentral describes it as "partial 16S ribosomal RNA". It matches the Rfam family "Bacterial small subunit ribosomal RNA", at positions 28 to 507 of the family's 1533-position model. The record is from RNAcentral.